ACUGUUGAAGGAUCUGGCGCAGCUUGUCCCUUUAAUAGACAUCUUUUUCUAUCUGACGUCUUUUAACCUUUUACUUCUCAACUACAAUUUAACGUUGUUUAGAUUGAAGACAUCUUUUCUAUUGAACUUGUGUUAACUCGUGCGUGUUGCUGUUUGUGUUUAUAUACUUUAACAAACUGCACUUCUUUAAAUUCAUGACCGUCGGAAUAAAAUGUCACAAUAAGCUUAUAACAUUCAAGGCAAAGCACCAUGAGAUCACAUGACCAGACCCGGGUGGAAAGCAUGUGAAAGCCUCAGUGUUCUGGUAUUAUAAUUUCUCAGCAUUUUUAAAAGUAUUAUGUUUACCACGAAAAGUUUUCUUUAGUUUUGAAAAUAGCUAAAUAACAACUAUAACAAGUUUAAUAAUCCAUUUCCAGUGUGGUUCAGUCUAAAUGUGUCUCUUUGAAAGCUGUCCUCACACUGGACGUCCAUCGACGUCUGUUUAAGGUCGCCCAACUAUUGUGCGUGUUUUUUUUUAACCAAGACCUCCCAUCUAAUUAGCCUUCAACGAAAGUUUUGGAGGUCAAAAUGAACCACACUCACCUUUCUUUUAUAUUAGGACAUCAAUGGACGUCUUAACCGCACGUAAGUAGACGGAAGUAGGUGUCAUUUUUUUCUGUCUAUGGAAAUGUGCCCAAGGGGUUAUGCUUAUCUUACUAGACUUUUUAAAAUUGUUUUUAGGUCUUUUAAUAGGCUGCAGGUCUUUCAUUUAACGACAACCUGCAUUAAAUGUCACACAGCAAGCUUAGAAUACACAGCGGUCCAAGACCAAAAACACCAUGAGAUCAUGAUGAUCAGACCAGAUUUCUUUAAACGGUUUAAUACAGAGCCAAGAUUUAUCCAUAAUAGAUCACUUCAUAGCCUGCAGUCAUUUAAUCCAGCCUGUUACUGCCGUGUAAGCCCCUUAUAGGCAAAGCUUUAACACAACUUUCAGCACAUUGUGUCAGAUUAUAACACUUAGAUCCACUCAGGAUACAUUUAGAGGUUAGCUGGAUCCAUACUGCGUUUAAAAUACCCUGAAUGCUUUUAGAAACCAUAAAAUGCUGCUUAUAUUAAAGCAUAUUUGAAAAGGAAACAACAACCCAGGUUUCACAUUUCUAACCAGUCUGCAAUUAGAGAAAAAAAAAACACACCCAUACACACAUAAGUUAAAAAACUCCCAGCCCGCUUCCAGUGUCAGCGCACAUGUGUUUGUUCUUGUUUAUGAGUCUGUUAGGAUUUUAAUCAACCCUGGUCAGACACCGGCCUCAUAUGGCCAUCAGCGUCCGUUAAGUCGGUGCUGCAGCCUCGGCUGCGUCUGCACCUUUCUCCAGCCAAAAUAACGUCAGACACAAUGAAGGCGCAGACCAAAACAAACGGCGCAGAGCAUGUUUGCCCUCCGUCAGCAGCAAAAAGUAAUUAAAACUGUGUCUGACCUACAUAAAGGAUGCGCCUCGGAAGGAAGCUCAGGUUAAUAUGCUAAUAUGGAUCUGCUAAUUGUGGGGAUUUACUUUGUCGUUUUGGCGGAGGGGAGGGGCCGCGGGGCGCGUCACUGCCUUGUUUAAGCCUUCAAGAUGUGCAGCAAAUUAAUUUCUUCUCAUGCGGUGCGUGAGGUGAGGAGAGCAGAAUAGGCAGAAAACAGGUGUUUGCAAAUAAAUAGGCAGUCAAUGAGAAACAGACCACUGGAGAAGUUCAAAAACAAAAAUGGGGGUCUGAGGUAAAAAAAAAAAAAAAGAAAAAAGUCAGCCAUCCCAAUGAAAAAACAACAACAAAAAACACCCAGAAAAAACAUAAUACCCUAACAUUCCAUGCAUUCAAGUACAUACACAUCAAAAACGUGCAAAUUUAAGAUGUUUGUACAUGUGUUUAUUUAGCCUCUGCAAAAUUUUGAACGACUGUCUCUCUCCUUAUGAAAGAUACACGAUCAUUGCAUCACUGUUAGCUUUUGCUGAAGGACAGGAAAGGCACAUUUAGAUAAAUAAAUAAUGUAAUUCUUUGAGGAAAAGUUAUAAUAAUGGCUACUGGCCCUUUUCCCUCAGCUGUGUUGGUGCCACUAUAAUGUCAUGCUCUGAAGGACACAGUGAUGACUCAAGCAUAUUUAACUAACCAACUAUUGGAACACUUCCAGACAAAUAUGUAGAAGUGGUUACUGGCUCCACUGGCCCCCUUCGGUGGCACCAGUGGCAUCUGGCUCUGAGGGACAUAAAAUUGGCCUAACUAACGAACGAACUAACUAACUAAUAAUUCAACUAUUUAUUUAAAAUUUUUAAUUAACACAAAAAUAAUACAAACUCAUAGGGGUAGACAUUGCCCCAGCCCCCCACACCUUUCCUUGGUGUUAUGCCUAAAAUGACCAAGCAUGAAAAUACCAAAAAUCAAAUUUCAAAAUCAUUUUUCUAGCUUUAAUACUUAUUCAGAAAUAAUAUUAUAGUUGGGUAGCCAGCAAUUUUAUUGGGGUGUCAACCCCCCCUUUCCCCCGCCAGCUUCAGCCUGAUUGCGCGGCUGGGGGGAUGUUUUGAUAGAUAAAAAAUGACACUUGCCUUAAAUAAAUAAAAAGACAGAUAAUAUUUGCAACUCAUUGAACCCGAUAUUUUGCUCUUGUAAACUCAUAUUCAACAAUGGAUCAAGCACUAUCUGACCAGGGAGGCAGUGAGCAGAAUGAGCAAAUAUUUGGUGGUGGCUAUUGACCCCUUGGCCCCCCUUCGUGUGGCCACUGCUUAUAAGUAUGCGUUAUUGUUAAUUUCUAUCCCUUAUUUGACUUGAUAUCUGGUGAAAUAGCCUACACUAAUCCCAUGUCAGCUGGACAUGCUAUAAUAGAUUGAUAAUCACAUGGCCUGGGGUGACCCACCCACCAUCAGCCGGGACGUUUAGUCUGCUUCAGGGACGCUUCAGAAAGGGGAAUAACAUGCAUCCUUUGGUUACCUGCAACGACAGAUAACCUCCGAGUAUCUUUGUCGGUUUGUAUUGCCAAUUAGCGUGUUUAAUUGUUGCUUCUUUGUUGCUGUAAUUACUCGUGAAGUCAAUUCAGAGGUUCAAUCCAGGUCAGACACGUGUCAUCUGCUGCGAAUAAACAGAAGAAAAGGCCAAUCUGCUCCCAACGGACAGUAUUUAAUCCUCUGGUCUCUUAUAAACAAGCCUUGUUUUACUGAUGACCAAUGUGUCUGGAGUUUUUUUUUUUUUUAGAGAAAAAGUUUGGUGGCGUCUUUCCUUUUUAUAUGACGCUGAUUUAAUAAAAUAAUAACUUCGACAAAUUAGCAUAAAUGUGAGCAACAACUGAUCGGCUGUUAAUGAGUGUUCGGUUGGCGGGUUUAGUUGCUUCCAAGCCACCAAUUAAUGGUCUUCUGCGCUGAAUGAUUAACAGUACUUUUAAUAAACGAUUACAAGCAUCAGCCGUGCAGGACCGAAGCUGUAAAAUUGAUUUUGAAAACUUAACUCCAGCAGCUGUUGGAUUAGUGUGAGCCUGCUGCAUGUGCGUGCGUGCGUGCGCGCGUCCGUGCGCGGCGAUCGAAGUUCAUUAACUUCUCUUUUCAAGAGUUUCUGAAGUGCUCCUGAAGAUCACACGAAAGCCAAAAAUCUUUCGACUAUUUCCCGUGCAGAUGGGAGGAAAAGAGCAGCACUCACUCGUAAGAUUUUCAUCACCUCUUAUUUUUCUUUUUUUUUUUCCUUGUGAGAUCCGUCAGCGUUUCAGACGAGAUGUAAAAAUCACACAAUGCGUUAAACAUUUAAUGGUCUGUUUAUUUAGUCAGAUGAUUCUUCCAUUGUGUCUGUGGGAUUUCAGAACUAUUCAGAUAAUUACCCCCAUUAAAAACAGAAUAAUGGUGAUAUUCAUGUGCGUUAUUGCUUCAGAAGUGGCUCCAGGCUUUACUCUGAAUGGAGGCUUCAAUGCCAAGAGUUUAAUGGAUCUUUGCUGGUUGAAUAAAUUUUUAUUAGUUGGGAGGUCUUAAUUGAAACCUGGCAUCUGUAGGGUGUAUAUAUCAAACGUUGCUUCAACACACACUGGAGAACAGUCAGAUUGGAUACAUUCUCCUUUAUUCUGUAUUAUUGUCUCUCAAUUCAUUUUUGUUUAUGAUGCCCUAAUAUGAUGACUCACAUAAAGGGAAGAUGUAAUAUGCUGUGUUAGUUGGGUGGGUGGGAUGCAACAGUCACAUGAACACUUCCCAGUUUCAAACUUCUUGAACUUAGAGAAUCUUAGUGCAAAACAGAAUUAUCCUAUUAAUAAUUACUUAGAAAUGAUCAAAUGCAGGUCAGAUUUAAUAAAAAUAACACAAAAUCCAAAAAAGAAGGCUCAUGAGUACUACAAAAAACCCAAAAAAGGUUUAUGUUACAUGUGCUACCCUGUUUUCAGUUCCUUCUGCCACUACAAAGUCUGUUUUUUGAAAGGACUAGUAUAUCUUGCAAUCUGAUCCUGAACUAUAUUCGAUUUAAAAAAUCCUUAUUUAUUCAUAAAGCAAGAAAAAAAGCAUUAAAGAUCAUAUUGUUUUAGCAAAUUUUCAAUGUAAAAAGAAAUAUGGUUAAAAACUACAAACACGUUUGCUUCCUCUGUGGUAAUUGUGAACAGUGUAACAAUACUAUGUAAACAUAAUACUUUUUCCAUCCACAUAAAGGCAGAAAACUUGCUGUUAAUAGUGUUGUCACUUGUGUAUCCACAUGUGAAAUAUUUGACUUGUUGCCCUUAUAGAUAUGUUGGUAAAACAAAGGAUACACAGAAAUGAUAGAGAUUAUUUUGUUGCAGUGCACUUUAAUGAUGCUCAUUGUAUUUUCUUUAAGUUACUUUUUGGAUUUAUAUGCUUCAAACUUUGGCUCCAAAUAUAUUAUUUAUAUACAUAGUGAAGUGAUUGGUCUUUGUAUGUGUUGAUUUUAGUAUUUCUACGUGUGAGGUAAUGUAAAAAGAUUUUUUUUUUACAUGGCAUCUAUAUAUUGUUUGCACAACUUUUUGAUAAUUGGAUGUGAUUGGUCAAACACUUAGAACCAUAUACAUUUUUCACCAGUUUCCAAGUAAUGAUAUGCAAAGUUUGUUUGAUUUGUCAAAUCUGAAGCUGGAAAUGAAAAGCCCAUAAGUACCAUUUUCUUCAUGUGGCCUUUGAUCGGGCAUGCAAUUAAGCAACAGAAACCUUGCAGGGUGAGAAGCUGACAGAUAACCAAUUUAUUUCUGUAAUUAUUGAGGGAUUAUGCAACCCCCAAAGCUAUGCCGCCCUGAACACGUGACCAAUACGACCCAUAUCAAAACUGCCACUGCAACAGCUUACCUGCGGAUGCAAUUUUAUCCAUCUACAAUGUUUUUUCUGCAGACCUUUCAGCCUCUUUUACUUUAACAAAUGAUCCUUUGAAAACUUUCAAGAAUAAACAGAUUUUUUAAAAUUUGUUUUUCUGUUUUGUUUUAAAUGAAUUUAUAGUCAGGCCUAAAUAAACAAAAAUUAUGUUAUUUGUGUGUUUCUUUUUUGUUACCUAUACCUGAAGCCUUGAAAGUUCUGAUAAACCUGUUGAAAGUCUGUACCAUAUAAAAAAACAAUUAACUAGUUUCAUAUUUCCAUUGAUUUACUUCCAUGUGUCUUUGUUGUUGAUUUUCUUUCCUCACAAAUGAUUUUUUGUUGCAAUAUUUCUAACAUUAUUUUGCACUCACAAGUGAAGUAAUGUUUUUUAAACAAUGAAUCACAACUGUUAUUGGCAAAUCCUAACAACACAGUUUGUUGAAAACAACUUUUUUAAUUUCCUGCAUUUUUUAAAAUAAUGCAUUUUUUUAUACUGCAUAUAAAGAAUAUGCAGUAAAGAACAUGUAAAACUAUGAUCAAUGAGUGCACAAAGUAUGUCCUGUGGCUCUGUAUCACAAAUCGUCGGUUUCCCUUUCUUGCUCUUCUUGUCCACUCCAGCAGAGUGCGCCACUCGGACCGUGCAGCCCAAGGGGAGAUUAACCUGCAGGUCUUUGCUUUGUAAAAAAAAAAAAACACGACACACACACCAGCUUGUUCUCCUACUUUCAGACCCAUGGUUCUGUGAGAAAUGACAGGGCACAGGCAGAGUCAAACCGUCUUGCUACAAGUUCUCUUGUUUCAACUACUGAGAGAAUGUCCCCGGCAAGCGGACGGACAUUUCAGAACCAGAGACAGGUAUAUGAAAUGUUAACAAGGUGUCAGAUGAAAGCCUCCAGGCACCACACUCUGAACAUUUUUGUUGUUGUAUUGUUGAGGAAAUGUAACCUAAACUGUAUAAGAUGUCACAUUUAAUGUGUCUUGUAUGUGGAAUUACGUCAUAAUAAAUUCUAUGAUUAUAAGGCCCUCA
Long non-coding RNA from Girardinichthys multiradiatus, 6294 nucleotides. RefSeq lists it as uncharacterized. The transcript has 2 exons. NCBI's taxonomy places the organism in Eukaryota, Metazoa, Chordata, Actinopteri, Cyprinodontiformes, Goodeidae. The record is from RefSeq and is a predicted model, not a curated record.